Molecule: ribosomal RNA, 253 nt
Filed under: uncultured bacterium
Lineage: Bacteria
Description: partial 16S ribosomal RNA
Rfam family: Bacterial small subunit ribosomal RNA
Source: RNAcentral
UACGUAGGGGGCAAGCGUUGUCCGGAAUCAUUGGGCGUAAAGAGCGUGUAGGCGGUCCGGUAAGUCCGCUCUGAAAGCCCGGGGCUCAACCCCGGGAGGCGGGCGGAUACUGUCGGGCUAGAGUCCGGAAGAGGCAAGUGGAAUUCCUGGUGUAGCGGUGAAAUGCGCAGAUAUCAGGAAGAACACCUAUGGCGAAAGCAGCUCUCUGGGACGGUACUGACGCUGAGACGCGAAAGCGUGGGGAGCGAACAGG